This 3893-nucleotide long non-coding RNA is filed under the name Marmota monax (woodchuck). Lineage: Eukaryota; Metazoa; Chordata; Mammalia; Rodentia; Sciuridae. The record is from RNAcentral.
AGAGAGAGAGAGAGAGAGAGAGAGAGAGAGUUCAUUGUUAAGGAUAGAUAGGUUAAAAUUUUCAAGGUUCUGUUUGGUUUAUAAAUAUGCAUAUUGUAGAUAUUCUGAUUAAGAGUCUUUUAAGCACAAAGUCAAGCACAGGACUGCAAACCCAGUGCAAAUCUGGCAAUUGCCCAAGGGAGCCAACAGUAGCAACAGCUAAACUUCUACUAUAAACAUAUUGGUGAAAACCUCUCAAAAUGUUGCAGUGUCUACAUCAUCAAUUCCAGCCUUGAGUUAUUAGAUGGAAAUUCUUCUAUUAUAACACAACAUUGGCCUACGGUCUGAAUAACACUGUAGUAGGCACUGGGUUACAUAAAUGAACAAGAGUAAAAGCUUCUACUCUCAUAAGGGAAGAACUGUAAGCAGUUAUUAUACGGUGGGGUAAGUGAAAUGAUAGGAGUUCUGAGAACUCUGAAGGAGGAAUUUCUAUUGAGAACAGCUCAUGGACACCUUUGUAUUAAGAAAAGCAAAGGUGGUUGCUGAUCCAAAUGGGUGGGAAGAUAGAUAUAGGAACAUCAGUGACAGGAAAGGACAGAGCAGUCUUCCUUCUUGCAAUUUACCUUCAGUUGCUGACUGUACUUUUUUUUUCCACAAAUGGGGGGAUGGAAAUAAUAGCUCAAAAUCAUUGUCUUUAAAGGGAUUUAUUUUUCCCAGUUACCAGCAGUAGUUGCAGUCUAAGAUCAGCUCACUUGCUCUAUGGGACAGAUCAGUAAAGAUUUGUUUUUUCUUACCCUGUGAUCUUUUCUGGAAUUGAAACAUCACACAGGGAAAAGACAGGUCUGCUAGAGUUGCUUAUAAUUAUACUUCCCCUCAAGUCCUUAUAUCAGGAGCUCUAAUCCAAUUUUCUCAGACCCCAUCUCCCUGCUGACCAACAAAGGUUCCAUGCUGGGUCUUGCAAAAUUAAGCCAUAAGCUUUUCUUCCACCAAAGGUUCGAAUCUGAGCACAGAUGUCAGAGUUAAUCCAGUCACCCCAGGUCCUCUUAAAGCCAUAGAAAAGUAGAUUUGUCUUGCUGCCUUUUUAAUGGUGUGGAAUUUUCCUCUGCUCAGCAACUUUCCUCACUUUGUUGGUUAUACCUAAUUGGGUUUAUCUUUGUCUGAGCCAACAUGAUGGACAGACCUUUUGGCGAGUGGAUGUAUUUAUUUCUAGGGCUUAAAAUGUGGUUCAUAGACACCUCUGGAGGCCAAAUAUCCACUGGGAAUUCUUAUCCCACUCUAGCUGUUUAUUCUGAAAACAGAACUGUCAUCAAUGACCCUAGAAAACAGAACCUGGUCCUUUAAGGAUGUUGUAGCAGUUACAUGAUAUUACAGCCAAACUGAUAAUGCUCAGUGGUGUUAAUUGGGGUCAACUUCUAACAUGCUUUUGAGGUCCGUGAUUGCUACCAGCACAACCUAAGUCUCUUGAAGGCUGCAUACUUAUCAAUAAUCCAACCAGAUUCUUUGUCUUUUAGAUAAGUCACUUACCACCACAGUUGAACAUCUAAUUUGAAGUCAGGUCUUUCCUAAUUGCUGGUUUUCAGAGUGAUCUCUAAUAAGUUCCUUAUAUUCCUGAAUCUUGGCAGUACAGUUUGGCUAAGACAGAAAGACUUGUUUCAAAUUCUGACUGUACCACCUUUUAGUCAUGUGACUUGGGCAAGUUACUCAAACAGCCCCCACCCCCCUGCUGUGAUGCUGGGAAUGGAACCCAGGGCUUUGCACAGACUGGCAAACUCUCUACCACUGAGCUAUAUCUCCAGUCCAAGUUACUCAGACUCUUAAUUUCUUCAUUUGUGAAAUUGGGCCAACAAUGCUCUCUCAAAGGUUUAUACUGAGGAUUAAUUGAAAUAAUAUAUAUAAAACACCCAGCACACUACAUAGCUUAUAGUUAGUGCUAAAUAGAUAGUGCUUGUUCUGAUUACCUUACUGACAAGAUCAUGUCCUCAGUUCUGCCAAGAACUGGUUUGCUGCCUUUAUGGCCAAGAAAAUAUAGACUUCAGAUUUAGGUUCAAAAUUAUAUGGACUGCAAGAACCAUUAGCCAAAUUGGAGAUUGGCCACCUAAUUUGUUUCACUCAUCUCUGCCCAGCCUUUGGCAGACAUACCACAGUCUUGCAGGGAACGUGAGACAGAGGGAAGACUGGCAAAAGAUGCAAUGAGGUGAAAUUAUGCAGCUGUCUUGUAGCCUGGUCUUCUUUCUUGCCCCACCUUAAAUCCAUAGUUCCUGUGGCUCCUCAUUGCUUCCCAAAAUCAAAGUGAUUUUUGAGAUCACUUUGUUCUGUGUGCUGAAAGAUGGGUCCAGAAGCUCAAGGAGAGUUGUGCUGGGUGUGGUGACAUGCUGAAAAGUGACCUUAAGAGGCACCAGCUGCGUUAGUGUGUUGGAUGCCGGGCUAGGAACCUGAGCAACAGUGGCCUGUUGGACAGCCUUCACAUAGUCUAGUGGGCAAGAAGACGAGGUCACCGACAAUGCCACCGCAGAGCUGUGAGAGCCACACGAAUGUCAGUGUAGGAUUCUGGAAGCCACAGAAACUCAGAAGGCCAAAGAAAGGGGUGCCAGUACCAAAAGGGGUAAAAAAGGAGUUAGCCCCCAAAAGCUGCAGGUUUAGUGGGGUCUAGGGAGUGGGUGGGAGUGUCAGGCAGAGGAGAGGAGUUGACUUGGCAGUUGCAUCUGGUAUGUAGAUGCCCCUGGAGGGGUGCUGAGAGGUGAAGAGGAGCCAGGGAGACUUGAGGAACUGUUUGCCAACUGCUGUUGGCACCUCCCUGGUGUCAUUUAAUGGGCUAUUAUCCUCAGUGCAUUCCUUGGUGAAGGCGCAGAGAUUUUGUGCUCUGGGGACCCCACUGUUAGUGCCAAGUCCUUUCUUCACUACUUUUUCUUUGGUAUUCCUCUCUUUGGGCCUCCCAUUCACCUCCCUCUCCUCCCAGUAGACUUCUUCUGCAAUGCCUGUGCUUUGUCACAGAACUUGGCUAGUGGGCGGGAAAUCUCAGGGAACAAACCCACAGUGGUGGGAUCUGGUGUGCAGUGCACCUGGUCAUCUAUGCAGACGCUCUGCUCGAUGAGGGGCAAGUUGUACUGAGCCCCACCCCUUUGAUCCUCCCCUGUGGUCCUUGAGGGCUCCUUGCCAGCUUCCUUCUAAGACAAGGUUUCUCUCCCAGCUCCUGUGUUCAGAGGAGGAACCAUGGUGCUUCUCUGCGUUCUUGUUCUGUCACUCAGCUCCUGAUAGUGCUGUCUCACAGUCACCCAAAUCCUGACUGGGAAGAGAUGCCACACCCCUCUCUUUCUUUCUCUCUUUCCUCUCCUCCCUGCAACCCCAUGCAUCCCCUUGGCUGUUGCUCAUAAAAAUAAAAACGUAUAUGGCUAUUUCUCAGCUUCCUAGUCUCAUCCUUUCCCAUGCAAUCCCAAACUCGUAUGCCUUCUCAAAGUGUAACUGACACUGACUGAGAAUUUACUAUGUGAUAGAUACUUUAUAUGUCUAUGAGCUCAUGCGAUCCUUGAAAACAAUCAUGGAAGUGGGUGUUAUUAUCUUCACUUUUUUUUUUUAAAUGAGAAAAUCAAGGUUAGGGGUAUAAAGUGUUUUGCCCAAGACCACCUGCAAGUGAUUUUAGGAGAGCUAAAAUUCAAAUCAGGUCUGACCCAAAAAACCCAUGAAUUUCAUUUUGUGUUUUAUAAAUUUUAUUUCUUGCUUUUGAAAUGUUUAGUGGAAAAUGCAAAUAAUAGAGAAAAUAAAGAUGCACUCUCCUAUAAUCCUACAUUCUUAGUUACCAUUAAUAUUUAUGGUUUCUGUUCCAUCUUUAUCUUCUGGGGUUUUAAAUAUACAUUUAAAAAUUGGCACAUAUCUAUGCAUGUAUAUUAUUAUACAUAUUUAUGUACAUAAUUUUCUAU